CCGAGCGGCCGCUGCCGGCUCGCGCCGGUUCCGGCCGGCCGGGGGCGGUUCCGCGCGGCGCGGCGCUCUGGGAAAUGGGGGAGACGGCGCGCAAAAGCGGCCCUGAGAGGGGCGCGGGGCUGCCCGGGCGCUACCGAAGGCCGCGCCGGAGCCGCCGCCGCCGCCGCCGCGGUCCGUCCGCAGAAGAGACGUUGAAAGGAUCCCGAGCCCGCCGGCGGCCGGUAACGGCGGGGCGGGCGCAGGCUCUGCCCCUCGCGCGGGGGCAGCUGCGCCGCUGGCGGCUGCCGGGGGACCUCCUGUUAUUACCAGAGCAGUUCUCAUCACUGGGUGUUACUCCUUUGGCUGGAAAAGAUGAUUGCCUGGAUGAAUCCCACUUAAGAAGGAAGGCCAAGAUACAGCAGCUGUUACUGACAAAUGCAUCCAAAGCCUGUGCAAUAAUUCUGUCAGAUCUCUGCCUUGCCUCUGUCAUUAUCUUGUAUUGAACAUCAUCACUGAGCUUCAGUGUAUCUCUUCCUUACCUCCAUGGGGUAUUGUAAAGUGAAGUCUCUAACGGAACAGACUGCUGCUUCCUACAAAAUUCACUAAACAUAAUACAAGAAAAGUUUCCUUCCUUCCCAUAAUGAUCUUUAAAUGUUCACUGCCAAAAAAAAUCCAACAUUGUCUUUUUUUCUAAGAAGGACAAAGCCUAAUUCAUGAUGUUUGAUUAUGUUACAGAAUAACCAUUUUGGUGUUGCAGGCCCCAGUACCCCCUUACAACAGUGUAGCUCUUGAUUAGAAAGAAUUUAUUCCUAAUUUAUGCGAGUAUGAAAGAAGGCCUUUAAUUUUCCAAAGAGCUCUUUAUGUUAUGUCUUUUAAAACAUACAGUCACAAUAAAUUAUAUUUCUGGCAUGUUCUUAAAA
Molecule: long non-coding RNA, 899 nt
Organism: Rhea pennata
Lineage: Eukaryota; Metazoa; Chordata; Aves; Rheiformes; Rheidae
Exons: 2
Source: RefSeq, a predicted model, not a curated record